This 379-nucleotide ribosomal RNA is filed under the name uncultured eukaryote. Its description in RNAcentral is "partial 18S ribosomal RNA". It matches the Rfam family "Eukaryotic small subunit ribosomal RNA", at positions 592 to 976 of the family's 1831-position model. The record is from RNAcentral.
CAAUAGCGUAUAUUUAAGUUGUUGCAGUUAAAAAGCUCGUAGUUGGAUUUCGGAUGGGAUUUGCCGGUCCGUCGUUACGAUGUGCACUGGCCAGUCCUAUCUUGUUGUCGGGGACUAGCUCCUUGGAUUCACUUCCUGGGACUAGGAGCUGACGAGGUUGCUUUGAGUAAAUUAGAGUGUUCAAAGCAAGCCUACGCUCUGAAUACAUUAGCAUGGAAUAACACGAUAGGACUCUGGCUUAUCUUGUUGGUCUGUGAGACCAGAGUAAUGAUUAAGAGGGACAGUCGGGGACAUUCGUAUUUCAUUGUCAGAGGUGAAAUUCUUGGAUUUAUGAAAGACGAACUUCUGCGAAAGCAUUUGUCAAGGAUGUUUUCAUUAA